This 403-nucleotide ribosomal RNA is filed under the name uncultured bacterium. RNAcentral describes it as "bacterial SSU rRNA". It matches the Rfam family "Bacterial small subunit ribosomal RNA", at positions 335 to 732 of the family's 1533-position model. The record is from RNAcentral.
ACUCCUACGGGAGGCAGCAGUGGGAAUAUUGCACAAUGGGCGCAAGCCUGAUGCAGCCAUGCCGCGUGUGUGAAGAAGGCCUUCGGGUUGUAAAGCACUUUCAGCGGGGAAGAAAGCGUGGCGGUUAAUACCCGUCACGGACGACAUCACCCGCAGAAGAAGCACCGGCUAACUCCGUGCCAGCAGCCGCGGUAAUACGGAGGGUGCAAGCGUUAAUCGGAAUUACUGGGCGUAAAGCGCGCGUAGGCGGCUAAGUAAGCCGGUUGUGAAAGCCCGGCUGCAACCUGGGAAUUGCAUCCGGAACUGUUUAGCUAGAGUGCAGGAGAGGAAGGUAGAAUUCCCGGUGUAGCGGUGAAAUGCGUAGAGAUCGGGAGGAAUACCAGUGGCGAAGGCGGCCUUCUGG